This 331-nucleotide long non-coding RNA is filed under the name Numida meleagris (helmeted guineafowl). RNAcentral describes it as "lncRNA (ENSNMEG00000005234.1)". Lineage: Eukaryota; Metazoa; Chordata; Aves; Galliformes; Numididae. The record is from RNAcentral.
UGCUGCCAGAAAUAGAGGAGAUGAAUUACCUCCAGAUGGGCCGAAAGACGUGAAUGCUCAGGAUAUUAACCUUCUCAGCCUCUGAAGAGAGAACUUUUUCAAGAAAUAGCUGCCCCAGAUGGACAAGUGACAGCAUAUGAUGUGGCUGACUGCAGGCUGUGUGUGCUCCUGCUAACCAGCAAGCAUGUGCAUGCUGAUAGACUUAACAGCUGGACAAACAGGACCAGUAACUGCUGAUCUCAUGAAACUUGUUGUAUUUUAAUUAUCUUCAUGACCUUUAAUCCUCUAUAAAUUUCGCUGAAAUUAAUAAAUGCAUUGAAAAAUUUUUACA